Molecule: non-coding RNA, 143 nt
Filed under: Mesorhizobium metallidurans STM 2683
Lineage: Bacteria; Pseudomonadati; Pseudomonadota; Alphaproteobacteria; Hyphomicrobiales; Phyllobacteriaceae
Description: Mesorhizobail RNA 10
Rfam family: Mesorhizobail RNA 10
About the family: Existence predicted via genome wide comparisons with 4 related strains. Analysed further by deep sequencing and Northern blot under various stress conditions.
Source: Rfam by way of RNAcentral
CUCAUCCGCAUACGCAUUGGCUGACGCCAGCGGCGAAAGGGCCAAAAGGAGCGCCCGACAAAUCCGGCCGGGCGAGGAAAAGAAGCGCGUCGAUGAAAAGCCUGAAGGCUCAGGAAUGCGCAUGGCGCCAAGUAUGGCCGAUA